RNAcentral lists this ribosomal RNA (384 nucleotides) under uncultured bacterium. RNAcentral's name for it is "bacterial SSU rRNA". It matches the Rfam family "Bacterial small subunit ribosomal RNA", at positions 29 to 416 of the family's 1533-position model. The record is from RNAcentral.
AUUGAACGCUGGCGGAAUGCUUUACACAUGCAAGUCGAGCGGCAGCGCGGGGCAACCUGGCGGCGAGCGGCGAACGGGUGAGUAAUGCAUCGGAACAUGUCCAUGUCGUGGGGGAUAGCCCGGCGAAAGCCGGAUUAAUACCGCAUACGCCCGAGAGGGGAAAGUGGGGACCGCAAGGCCUCACGCGAUUGGGUUGGCCGAUGUCCGAUUAGCUAGUUGGCGGGGUAANGGCCCACCAAGGCGAUGAUCGGUAGCUGGUCUGAGAGGAUGAUCAGCCACACUGGGACUGAGACACGGCCCAGACUCCUACGGGAGGCAGCAGUGGGGAAUUUUGGACAAUGGGGGCAACCCUGAUCCAGCCAUUCCGCGUGAGUGAAGAAGGCC